This is a non-coding RNA of Coniochaeta pulveracea, 119 nucleotides long. The record is from the annotation of a GenBank genome assembly. Lineage: Eukaryota; Fungi; Ascomycota; Sordariomycetes; Coniochaetales; Coniochaetaceae.
GCCCGCUUAGCUCAGUGGUAGAGCGUGCCAGCAGUGCCGUCCCUAGGAAUAUCUUCCCGUAUCCCUAGAAUAGCACUCCUCUGCUGGCAAGGUCGCCAGUUCGACUCUGGUAGUGGGUA